CCUACGGGAGGCACCAGUGGGGAAUAUUGCGCAAUGGGCGCAAGCCUGAUGCAGCCAUGCCGCGUGUAUGAAGAAGGCCUUCGGGUUGUAAAGUACUUUCAGCGGGGAGGAAGGUGUUGAGGUUAAUAACCUCAGCAAUUGACGUUACCCGCAGAAUGAAGCACCGGCUAACUCCGUGCCAGCAGCCGCGGUAAUACGGAAGGUGCAAGCGUUAAUCGGAAUUACUGGGCGUAAAGCGCACGCAGGCGGUCUGUCAAGUCGGAUGUGAAACCCCCGGGCUCAACCUGGGAACUGCAUUCGAAACUGACAGGCUAGAGUCUUGUAGAGGGGGGUAGAAUUCCAGGUGUAGCGGUGAAAUGCGUAGAGAUCUGGAGGAAUACCAGUGGCGAAGGCGGCCCCCUGGACAAAGACUGACGCUCAGGUGCGAAAGCGUGGGGAGCAAACAGGAUUAGAUACCCGGGUAGUC
RNAcentral lists this ribosomal RNA (466 nucleotides) under uncultured bacterium. Its description in RNAcentral is "bacterial SSU rRNA". It matches the Rfam family "Bacterial small subunit ribosomal RNA", at positions 338 to 795 of the family's 1533-position model. The record is from RNAcentral.